ACAAAAUAAUCAGUACAUAAACCCAAGAAAACACAAAUUGACGAGUAAAAUUCAAAAUGACCAACAAGACUGAACUGAAAUUGGAAAUUGAGUUUCAUCAGCAUCCCCAUCAACAUUAGAUGCAUAUGAAUUUGAUGAUGAUGCCAUGCCAUUAUUGUAAGAGUCAUCUCCACAUAUUGCUCUUCAUUCCAAUCCUCCUCUGGGUGUGCUUCUCCCCCUUUAUCCUCCUCUCUCAUUUCGUCAACCUCUUCAUUUGAGAUUGAGAUCUAGUGGUCCAUAUAGGGAUUAGUGGUGUCCCAGAAUCCUCACAAACUUGAUUUUAGGUCAAGCCCGCUCCAAAUACCUCCUCUUUAGCAUUAACCAAUCACUCUUUACCAUCAUCUAUGUUUGUAACAAGGUUCUCCCUUUCAUUGUGCUACUGAACAAUGACAAGGUUGUUCAAUGUGUUCUGCUCAAUCAUGUUUCUCUUCUUUGUGAAGCUAUUAGAUAAUAUAUGAAUGAGUAAUUUGAACUUUGAAAAACAUAGUACAUGUUAGGGAUACAACUACAACUAACAACUAAUAGCUAGUAACUAAUAGGUUAGGAGAUGGUGAACUAAUUAUCAUUCAAUGUGCUGAAGCUGCGCUCGCAAUCGGACAAGCUACAAGUCAAAUUCAAUGUGCACAUAACCUUCUAGCACAAAUGUGGGCCACUUCCCCGUGGCUUAUUCACCAUGUGGCUAGUUUACAUAAAUGAAAAUGCAAUAUAUAAGAAUUAUAGUAUAAUUAGAACUAAAUACUCAGUUUAGAAAAUCAAUGAAUGAGUUAAACUUACCAAGAGAGAUCUUGGUCCUCUGCCUUAUUUCCCCGAGUCCGUUCCAAGAGACCCCGCUAAGAAUCAAUACUUUUCCAAGUCCAUUGACACUUUGGCUUGGGCAUUUGGAUUAGGGUUGAGUUUAAUGUUGGAUUGGUUGAUUGCGUUCAUGAACUUGCUUUUGUUGUGUAUCACAUGAUCAAUGUAAAAUGAGCAGGUUAAGGUAAUACACUGUUAGGUAUAGGGGCAUCUCAAGUUGUGAGUUCCACUUCUCAUCUAUAAAUUUCAAAAAAGGAGCAUAUUUAGCUUCAUCAUUGCCAAAUUGUUUCUUGAAUUCCUCCUUGGAACCUCCAUUGCAUUAUAAAUGUGAUCGAUUCUUCUUGCUCACUUUCCACUAACCGCAUUACCUCCACCAAUGGGAGAAUAUCACUUUUGGCAAAUUGAACCCUAUUCCAGAAAUGAAAGCCCAAACCAUUGUUAACUAUUACUUUUUUUUAGGUUUUCUCUCUAUAAAAUAGCCUCAAAUGGGUUUUAGGUUUUAAAUGAACUUAAAGCCCACAAUUUUUCCCUUUUAGUAUUAAAAAAAUGGCCCAAAAAUACUCUCAAAGAGCCGCAUUUCUACCCCUAGGCAGCGCCUAGGCGGGUUUAGGCGGCCCCUAGGCGGGCCGGGCGCCUAGGCAGGUGCCGAGAGACAGCCGCCUAGUUUGGCCGCCCAGGUCUAGGCGAUGCGUCCAGGCCUUCUAGACUGCUUAGGCGCUGGGCGGUCCUUUUUAAAACUAUGUUUAAAAUUGAAUAGAAAUUAAAAAUAAGCAUAAUUUUGCACUCCAUCAAUUAGGAAGAACGAAUUGGGUAGCAUGCAUGAUUUUUGAGCAUGUAGUUAGGGUUUGAACCCCAUUAAGUGUACAUAAUUGGUUACUAUGUUAUGUGUACAUUUUAUGAUUAUAAACUUGAGAUGUUUUGGUGGUUAGGCCUUGUCAAUGUUUAGCUUUAAGUCUAAGGUUUGAAUUCUUUCAAGAUCAUCAUCAUAGCAUUUUUCCAAUUACAUGGGGUCAGCUACACGAAUUCUGGUCUACCAUUCUGCUCUAUUAAAGUCCAUACCCUUAGUGAUGCCAUAAGUACCUAUAUCUUUUUGGACUACUUCCAACCACGUCUUUUUGGGCCUACCCCCUUUCCCUUUUCGAGCCUUCUACUUGAACUAAUUCGCACCUUUUAACAGGUGUUGUACUAGGUCUGCACCACACGUGCCCAUCUAAGUCUACUCUUUUUCGUCUUAUCACUUAUUGGUGCCAUAUCGAAAUUUUCCUCAAUGGAUUCGUUUCGAAUUCUAUCUCUUCUUGUCUUGCCAAUCAUCCAUCUCAACAUCUUCAUCUCCGCUACACUAAUUCUAUGAGUAUAUUGUUUUUUGUCCGCCCAACAUUCUGCCCCAUAGAGCAAAGCUGGUUUCACAGCUGUCUUAUAGAACUUACCCUUCAGCUUCAUUGGUAAGCGAUGAUUAUAUAAAAUUCUAGUUGCACAUCUCCACUUCGCUCAUCCAGCUUUAAUUCUGUGUGCGACAUCUUCCUCAAUCUCUCUAUUUCCUAGAUUAUCGACCCAAGAUAUCGAAAGUGUGGACUUUUGAUACUUCUUGGCCUUCAAUCUUAACUACUUCCUCGUCUCUACUCCAAUGUAAUGUCUGGAGACUCCUUUCUUUUCCAACACCCACCAAAUCAAAUUUCGAGGUAUUGUAUUAUAAGAUUUCUCUAGAUCAAUAAAGACCAUGUGGAGUGCUUUUCCCUUCGCCCUAAGCUUCCCAAUCCAAGUAUAGUAUAAAAUAUAUAGAAAAAAAGCCAAAGUGGGUUCAAAACCCAAACUCAACAUUAGCGGCAACAACCCUUAGCUGACUUGACUACUUCAAGUAUGGACACAACAUCGAUUCAUUGAAUAAUAUAAAAUUUGCUUUUAUUUUGCUGGAUCGCCAAAGUUGAUGAUCCAGAUCUCCAAUCAAUGGGUGGGUGACCUGUCCUACCAAUCCGUUAUUUAAAACACUGCUAUAGUCUUCUGAGACACACAGUCUAUAGGUUCUCUUUUUCUUCUAAUGUGGAUUGCAAAGACAGAUAGUAGGCGGCAAAUCUUGCCACUCUGGGCCUCACCGACUCUCUAUUGUUUGUAUACUUCCUCAUCAUGGUCGUCACCUAGCCAAUUGAGAACAUGUGUCAUAUUAACACAAGUAUCUUUAAAAGUCAAGAGCUUGAGACUUAACAUAGAUCCUUAUGACCUAAGUAUUUAACAUAUGUGACAUUACUUCUAUGCAUACAAACCAACAAUUCUAAUGGAAGAGUUUUAAACUUACCUGCGUGUGGCUAUAUAUAUGACAUUAGAACAAUUGUUUCAUGUGGACUGGACCGCAUUUGUACAAUAUGCGGUCCAGAGGUAUAAAGCAUCCAACUUAAAGAUGGAUGCAAAUAGGUGGUCCAUCUAAAAACAAUUGAAACGAAGGGUUCGAAUGUGUUUUUAAUAGAAUUAUUAUUUCUAGUUUUCAAAAUUUAUUUAUUUCUUCAUAUUCAUGAUCUCUAUGUUAAAGAUUAUAUUCCCUAAAAAUUAAGAUCGAAUUCUAUUUCAAAAAUAAAUUUAUUAAGGGGCCCGUAUUUCUACAUGUGCGGGCUUGGCGGCAUGCUAACCGCAUCCAUAGCAUUAUUAUGACUUCGCUUUCUUCAGUGUUAUCACCACCACCUUCAUCAUGGCAGUAGCCUUAAGCAUGAGGUCUAGCAGCACAAGGCGACCAAAAAACAUGUGGCCUCUUUGCACCAAUAAGCUAGAAGCCGCCAUUAUUGGCUGCAGCCCUAUGAGUCACUACUUUGACCAUGUGAUCCUUCCCCACCUCCUCUGUACAUUGGUCCACUGACUCAAAAGUGAAUCUUGCUGCUUGGAUCUUGUCAGAUGCGUUAAUGGACCUAAAAACAUUAAUGCAUUAAUGAAUCUCGCGGCUUGGAUCUCUAAUGGUGACUUCGCUAUCAAGUUUGUAAUACUUCUGUUUCUCUAAUCAGUCUAUCGAUCAUUCAUAAUAGGGACCCUAGAUACAUCUCCCAUGUGUCUCUGUGGGUCCUCAAAAAAUUAUUUGUGAGCUCCACUUCCUUUUUAAGUAUUGGUUCCAUGAGCUCAUGUUGGGGCUUGGCCCAAAUUAAUCCACUCCUUCCAACAUAGUUUGGAAGUUCUUUAAGUUAGCGGCAUUGAAUGGAAUGCUUGCUUGAUAGAGCCAUCUAGCUACAUAUUGAGACACCUUAUCCUACCUUCUUUCUUAGAUUGUCCCUCUAAAGUUGUUUGCUCCGUUUCUCGCAACUGUAAUCUCAAGAUUUGGGGGUUGGAGGGGGAGUAAGAAUUUAUAUGCCCCCCUUGCUUGAGGUUUCUUUUGUUCAAGCCUUGUGGCCUACCGUGAACACUCGUCGUUGGCAUAUACAUCUUCCUGUAGUCCGUAUAAAUCUACACUCCUCAAAAGGUUAUCAUGGUUUUUCUUUUUCUCUUUCUUCUUUUUGACCUCCUGCGAGUGUUGUAAGUGCUCUAACAUCUCUCUCCUAACCCCAUGUGACACAAGUACUGUCUACCCUAACUUUGUCAAUUGGAUUUGUUAAAGAACUGUAUUUCCAAGCUCUAUGAGCUUGCUUACUUGAACUGGUUGAAGACAAUGCCAAUUUGUCACGACUCAUGACCCACAGAACUCACGACAUCAUCUAAUUAAUUAACCUCAAAAUUCACAAAAUCAAAGUAUUCAAUGAAGUAAACCCCAUUUAACUCUUUGUCUAGACAAUACAAGAAAACCAUAUAGAGUAUUAAAUAAAAAAACUAGAUAUGUUCACUGAGCAAGUCUGGAAAUACGCAGUUACCCAAAUUUUGAUGUGUGGCACUAAAUGUAAACCAAUCCAACUGAAUAAAAGGAGGAAAUAUUUAUUAAUUUACAAAACAAUAUUCUAAAGCAUUCAUGCAAGCAAAAUAACUCAAGCACAAUCUAUUUAGUAAUUUUCAUAAAACAAGUUUUUCCUAGGAAGAAACAAUUCGAACUUUAGUUAGGAAUCAAUAGGGUAACCCAACUAUGCAAUGAAAGUCACAAUUAUAAAAAAUUAAGGAGAAAUCACCAAAUAAUAUUCAUUUGGUUUGAGAUUAAUGAUUCUCCUAAGAUUAGGUUUCCCAGCCUUAAGAAAAUUUCAAAAAAAAGUCAACCUAAAACUUGCUGAUAAUUCAAAGCCAAACUUGUAAAAGUUCACAAAAGCAAACACCAGAAGGGAACUAAAAACAAAUCAUAAACCGUUUUACGGGAAAUAGCAACAAAUCCCAAGUCAAAUAUUCUGAUAUACUAACCUUUGCAAAAUGAACUUGAUAUAGGCUCUAAUUCGUGACCUUUGGCAGCCGAAAGUCCUCUUUUGUAGCCACUCCAAGCCCAAAAAGUAUCCUAUACGUUAACCUUCAAUUUUGCAAGAAGUCAAGCACUUUGAAAUGUUUUUGGAUCUUGAGAAAAAUCUGACAAAAAAAAUAAAUAUGUCUCUCAAGAAGGCACAAAUAGGGUUUUGGGGGUAGAAUGCCCACCAAAACCAUUUUCUGCCCUUUUCAAGGGGAAAAUGACAUUUUGCUUUUGGCUGAGGGCCUUUUUCUGCCCUCGGCCUUAGGGGCAUUGAGGUACCGCUU
Molecule: long non-coding RNA, 5445 nt
Filed under: Amborella trichopoda
Lineage: Eukaryota; Viridiplantae; Streptophyta; Magnoliopsida; Amborellales; Amborellaceae
Description: long non-coding RNA (ATRI_LNC000830)
Source: RNAcentral